UCUUUCUUCCCCCCCCCCCCCGUUUUUUCCAUCUUCUUUCUCACAGAUCCUGAUCUAUUCUUUCAAAAAUACAAAUUAGGGUUUCUUCGUUUUUUCUCUUUCCCCCUUUUUAAGGAUCGUCUUUUCCUCAUAUUCUUCUUCCUCUUUGUUUGGUUUAGCUUAGAUUUGACUCUACUGUUUUCGGAUUCAACUGCAUUUUCUACUUCGUUAUUGGUUUGAUUCUACUUUGAUGAUUUUCAUGUGUUUUUAAUUUGUUUGUGUUUUUACUGAUUUUUGAUUGAUUGGGGUUUAUUUUCGUCAUUGAUUUUUGUUGUUAAUUUAGGUUUUUUUGGCUGUUAAUUGCGUAGUUUUUAUUUAUUAGGGUUUCCAAGCGGCGAAUUUGUUUUAUUUUUGUUUGUUUUUCUAAUUGUAAUGGUUGGUAUUGAUUGGAGUUUCAAUUCUCUUACUUCCACCAUCCUGAAUUUUCACCUUCUCCAUUCUGAUUAAAGCUAUGUUUUGUUUGAGAUUGUUUUAGUAAUAAAAAGGUGAACUAAAAUCCUGAUUCUUCGGUUGUGCAGAAAUUUUGAGGGGUUUAGUAUUAUUUAGAGCUAGAUUCUUCAAGUUGUGCAGAAUAUGAGGGGUUCAAAUUAUUUAGAGCUAGAUUCUUCAAGUUUUUCUGAAUUCCUCUCUCAGUCCGUCACCUCCGACUGCUCAGCGGCGCCUUUGCGUUAAUUGAUAGCUCCAAUGGCGUUUCGAGGUGUGGGUUUUCAAUUGACAGCAACUAUAAACUCGGAUAAGCAGAGAUUCAUAUUUUGGAAAAGAUAGAUGGCAUUUCCGCUGAAACUAUGUUGUUGUUGUGGGGAGUAUGAGGGAGAGGCACAACAUUGACUCGAAGUACAAAUUCUACUUCGAUGCACUUUCCGAACAGUUUAAUACUGAUGGACAAGGCAGCUCUCCUAGAAAGAGUAGUAGAGCAAGUUAAGGAGCUAAAGAGAAAAAAUGAAAGUUAGCUUUGGUCCUGGUUCCAAGAAUUUCCCAGGGAUUACUUAACUCUGAUGGUUUAGGCCCUAUUUCAUGGUGGGUAUAAUUCCCGAUUACUGAAACUGAUCAUCACAGCAAGAACCAAGCUUAAAAGUUGACAUAAUAACCAGGCCUGAUCAUCGAAGUCAUUCUAACAAUCAAGUCGCAACAAAGCUGCUGAACUUGGUUCCCUGGUGCAAUGUCCAGCUUGGUUACUCACUACUGCCACUAGCCUUCUUUGACACAUGAUGAAUAUACUCCUUGUAACUUCUGCAAGUGAGAAAGAGUUUCAGAGUAUUGUUGAGAGAAACCGUAAGGAGGCAAAAGCAAGCUCAGCUCAUUGAACGUUUGCUAGCUCAUUGACGAUUUCUGUGAAUUGGAGUAUUUCUUAAUUCAAGCUGCUGUUUUCCUAUUUUGUUUUGAAAGUUAACAGAAAAAAUGUAACUUUAUAUAUAUGUUGAUGUUUACAUAUCAAUUUAAGUAGAAAAAAAUGCAAUUUUUUUUUUU
Chenopodium quinoa (quinoa) is the source of this 1506-nucleotide long non-coding RNA. RefSeq lists it as uncharacterized. The record is from RefSeq and is a predicted model, not a curated record. NCBI's taxonomy places the organism in Eukaryota, Viridiplantae, Streptophyta, Magnoliopsida, Caryophyllales, Amaranthaceae. The transcript is spliced from 4 exons.